Molecule: ribosomal RNA, 407 nt
Filed under: uncultured bacterium
Lineage: Bacteria
Description: partial 16S ribosomal RNA
Rfam family: Bacterial small subunit ribosomal RNA
Source: RNAcentral
AUUGAACGCUGGCGGCAGGCCUAACACAUGCAAGUCGAGCGGAGCGGCGGACGGGUGAGUAAUGUAUCGGAAAGUGCCCAGUAGAGGGGGAUAACUACGCGAAAGGGUAGCUAAUACCGCAUACUAUUGGAGCGGCCCAUAUCGGAUUAGCUAGUAGGUGGGGUAACGGCUCACAAAGGCGACGAUCCGUAGCUGGUUUGAGAGGACGACCAGCCACACGGGGACUGAGACACGGCCCAGACUCCUACGGCAGGCAGCAGUGGGGAAUUUUGGACAAUGGGGGAAACCCUGAUCCAGCCAUGCCGCGUGUGCGAUGAAGGCCGUCGGGUUGUAAAGUACUUUUGGCAGGAAAGCGGUACCUGCAGAAUAAGCACCGGCUAACUCCGUGCCAGCAGCCGCGGUAAUUC